GGUCUCUGUGGUGGGCGUCUGUCUGCCCGCAUGCCUGCCUCUUUGUUGCUCGGAAGGAGGCAGGGGCUGGGCCUGCAGCUGCCUGGGCAGAGCGG
Vulpes vulpes (red fox) is the source of this 95-nucleotide microRNA precursor. Ensembl annotates it as microRNA 346. The record is from Ensembl. NCBI's taxonomy places the organism in Eukaryota, Metazoa, Chordata, Mammalia, Carnivora, Canidae.